ACCGAGAUGGAUCUGGCUGGGACCCGGUUUGGAAGACCUAGGCUGCCUUCGGGCGUCCGGUGUACAUUUAAUAACCAACUUAGAACUGGUACGGACAAGGGGAAUCUGACUGUCUAAUUAAAACAUAGCAUUGCGAUGGCCAGAAAGUGGUGUUGACGCAAUGUGAUUUCUGCCCA
RNAcentral lists this ribosomal RNA (176 nucleotides) under Aplanochytrium stocchinoi. RNAcentral's name for it is "partial Eukaryotic large subunit ribosomal RNA". It matches the Rfam family "Eukaryotic large subunit ribosomal RNA", at positions 2026 to 2204 of the family's 3401-position model. The record is from RNAcentral. Lineage: Eukaryota; Bigyra; Thraustochytrida; Thraustochytriidae.